This 225-nucleotide ribosomal RNA is filed under the name uncultured bacterium. RNAcentral's name for it is "partial 16S ribosomal RNA". It matches the Rfam family "Bacterial small subunit ribosomal RNA", at positions 524 to 749 of the family's 1533-position model. The record is from RNAcentral.
GACGUAGGGUGCAAGCGUUGUCCGGAUUUACUGGGCGUAAAGCGCGCGUAGGCGGCUCGUUAAGUGUGGAGUGAAAUGCCGGGGCUCAACCCCGGAACUGCUUUACAUACUGGCGAGCUUGAGGGAUGCAGAGGUUUGUGGAAUUCCUGGUGUAACGGUGAAAUGUGUUGAUAUCAGGAGGAACACCCAUGGCGAAGGCAGCAACUGGGCAUCAUCUGACGCUGA